CUCCCCUGCUGCUCCGCCGCUUCUCUUUCUUUCUCUCUCUCUCUCUCUCUCUGUACCUCUCCUCCAACCCCGCCCCUUCCCUGCUGCUUUGCCGCCGCCCGUCCUCGUUAGCUGCCGUGCCGCCCUCCUCUACCACUUCUCCACCGCGACUGUUGCGAUUUCGUGCGCGGAGUGAUUGGGCGAGCGCGACCUUCCCUACGAAGGCGACUCCGCGUCGAGUUCCAUGCCCAUCUCCCUUCUCCACGCCACCCCUACCAUCACCUCGACGCGGGGCAUGCCAGCUCCUCCUCUCCCCUUCCCUUAAUCCAGAUCCGUGGAGGUGGUCGGCAGGAACACGCCAUCGACCUUAGGGUUGAGCAGUGGCGAUCAUCCCAGAUCAGAGUCAUCCGGCAUCGCUCGAGGGAGAUUACAGCGAUUUCAUGAUUGUGGGAGAUUCCUUGCUCUUUUGGGCCUGUGGAAGUGGCUACUUGUGGAGGUUGAUUGAUUUGGUUGGUUCGUUGCCACGAGAGUGACGGUUUGGAGAUAUGUUCUUGUUUUUGGUACAUGUUCAAAUACUGACAUAAAAAUAUAAUGUGAUAAAUUCAGAUACAUCUUUUUAAAUAGGCGAUAUGAUCUUGUUUGAUUUCUCUACAAGAUCUCAGAUAGCCAACUAGCAUCAUUCUUAAAUCAAAAGAAAGAUUGUGAUCCGCGCAGUUAUGAUAUGUCCUCAUAGUGAAUUUAAAACAUGAAAACUGUAACCUGAAGCUUUGAGCUUUAUCACCUGAUCUUUUCUGUUUAUAAUGAACACCAAGCUAUAAAUCUUCACGUGCCUUUCUUGUUUAAGGUUGUCAGUCGAUCUACGCGCAGCUGCGGCUCCGUGUCCUGACAAGGUCUCUAUGGAUAACAAGCGCAUUGAGUAUGUCGCCCUCCUGCUCGUCCGCUUCCUCGACAUCCUCUAGGACCUACACGGCCCCCACGCCCGCGAGUUCAUACAUCUGGUCUACUUCCGAGAUCCGCAUACCAUCUGUUCGAUGAUAUUCCCAUACAGAUUGUUUGGUUCUGUUUCUACUAUACAGGUGCUUAAUCUUGGUGUGGAUUGAGGCAUCACAAUUUUGUUAGGCUAGGGUAUUCAAGAUCAGGACACACAUCAUGGUGAGCUCCUUGGUCAUCAGCUGAUCCAUCACCGAGGUAUGUAUUCACCACUGACUUCUGAUCAUAUGGAUUCUCCUUAUAAUCUAGAGAUUACAGUUCUUCAGAAAAACUGUAUUAUCGAGUCGCGAGGUGCCGCUUGCUGUUAGACUAGCUGGAGAUGUGGUCCUCAACUAAUGCAAUGCGAGUAUGUGACGAUGACUUUGGCAUACGGAUGUUGUUGUUCCAACUUGAAUUUCAAAGAUACUUGAGAGGAAUUUCACCAGUUCCUGGGAUAAUUUGAUAUUUUGACGUGCUUUGGUAACUCUAUAUAUGUGUUUAAGUCGUAAGUCUGGUGGUUUCGUAGUUACUAUCCUCCCUCGAGGGCAGUGCUUGUGUUAGACAUUUUUGGGAUGCCACCCUUUGUAUUUCCGUGGGGAAAGAUAGAAGGAACAUAUAUUAAUGGAUUAUGACUGUAGUUAUUAGUUUGCGUGGGUUGGAUGUUUCGCGUAUUUGGUGUUUUUGCUCCUGGAUUGUGAAAUAUUUAUUUUGUUGAAUGUUUUCCCUUAUACUGGAUUAUGUUAUCACAUGAAGCAAAUGCUCAUUCCCCCCAUUUUUCUUGUAUUAUAUGUGUCCUUCCUUUUAGGCUUCAGGCGUUGCAAGCCAGACAUGAGUAUCUUGUUCAUUUGCACUGCUAAUUUUAUGAUUUUCUACUACAGAUGGAAAAUUUAUUCUCUAGGGGAUUGACGAACCAUUAAUCUAAUAGAACUGAUACAUGUAUAUGUAAGUAGAAUUGUGAAACUUGGAGCAAAGCUUGGCUGCUUGCAGCACUCUGUUUACCUUCUGUUGACUCUCCAUUUCAUUCUGCUACAGUUAAAUUCUGCCAUCCAAUAAAUGUGUCUUUGUUUCAGAAAAUAAGCAGUGCAUCAUACCAUAUUGUAGCACAUUUACCUAUAGCUCAUUGUCUAUGCCAUUCUUAUUAUGUUAUAAAGGGAAAUAAUCAACUAUUAGAUGACCUAGAGUAUGUAUUCUGGACACAAUCUACCCGUGUAGAUCUUUUUAUGUUGAGUUAUAAAUCAAUUGCCUGAUUUUAUUGUUCUUUUCACCCUUGAUGUAUAAAGGAUAUUUAACUUGUAAGAUUUCUAAGAUAUGCCAUUAGUAACGAGAUUGUUUGCUUUGCAUGCAUAUUGCUCAGUUGCACACUAAGGGAAAGAAAUUAGUUUUGUUUCUGAAAUUCUUCCAUUUUGUAAUAGGUUUUAAAUUUUAAAUCAAAGUUCCGUCAAGCAAAUAUAUUACUAAUGUGCCGAUUGCUUGCUUAGUAAUAAGUGUUUUUCAAUAGAAUGGCCCUUGUGACCAGAACUGAAAUUAUUUAGUUGUUACAUUCUCAUAUAGGCUCUGUUUCAAAUAGUAUAAGAAUGAUAUGCACUGUGUUUGGCAGGAUGUGUUGCCAGCAAUGUAAGUCGCCAUCAUGAGACCUGGCUUCUCCCCCAGCCUUCUCUUCUUGUUGACAAGGCUCGACGCUGCGCCUCCUUGCGACCCCUGUGGCGAUGCACGGCGCUGCUACUCCCCUAGGACUCAUCUAGAUGGUUUUUUCCCUAAAUUUUUCACAUCCUUCAGAUAAACUUUUCUUACUGAUUUUUUUUACUGUUUGUUGGUAACUGAUGUUUUAAAGUUGAAGCAGCCAAUGUUUUACAGAUCGAUAUGUACCCUCUGUACUGAAUAAAUGGGUGUCUCAAUAGAUGGAUUGGGUCAAAGUAUGUAUAUAUACCACACUUGAGGUCAGUUGUGUUUUCUCAGGUUUGAAUGAUGACUGUUUUCAGAAACUUCUUCCGAAUCUAGGUCAUAGGCUGCGACUGAAGAUGCAACAACAUACCUCAUUCUGCUAUGAUGUUAGCUUCCUGCUUUAGUUACCAGGCAAAAUUUCUUGCGCUUUGUGCCUUCGUGUUUCUCGUUCACAGCUGAAUGAUGAUUGGGGAAUUCCUUUUAAAUGUGGUUAACAAUAAGGAUGCAAUCGCCUAUAAUUAGCUUGCUUUUCUAUUGCUAAGUAACUUUCUUAUGCCAUCAUUUUCCGAGUAUUUUUAUGUUGCAGGUAUCUUGUCCAGAGCCAAUGGAGACAAGCAACACCAUGCUGCUGCUAUAUCUUAAUGGUCUUUCUUUCACAAUAGUGAUGUACUUUUUAUACGUUAGGCAGUGGUAACCUUCCUUCUUUUGAUGAUGUUAUACUACUUAGUUUUGGCAUACACCAAUGUACCAGCUUACUUCUGUUUCACUUAUUUUGCACUUAGCCAAGCUUGUUACUUUGAAUCUCAUGCAAUACCAUUACAUAGUAUAAAUAAGAAAGUGAAAGGGACGCCUCCCACCUGGCACCGCC
Long non-coding RNA from Aegilops tauschii subsp. strangulata, 3478 nucleotides. RefSeq lists it as uncharacterized. Lineage: Eukaryota; Viridiplantae; Streptophyta; Magnoliopsida; Poales; Poaceae. The record is from RefSeq and is a predicted model, not a curated record.